Molecule: ribosomal RNA, 253 nt
Filed under: uncultured bacterium
Lineage: Bacteria
Description: partial 16S ribosomal RNA
Rfam family: Bacterial small subunit ribosomal RNA
Source: RNAcentral
UACGUAGGGUGCGAGCGUUUAAUCGGAAUUACUGGGCGUAAAGCGUGCGCAGGCGGUUCGUUGUGUCGGCGGUGAAAGCCCCGGGCUUAACCUGGGAAUGGCCGUUGAAACUGGCGAACUGGAGUGUGGCAGAGGGGGGUGGAAUUCCGCGUGUAGCAGUGAAAUGCGUAGAUAUCGAGAGGAACACCUGCGGCGAAGGCGGGUUGCUGGGCCGACACUGACGUGAUGCGCGAAAGCCAGGGGAGCGAACGGG